AUCAAAUAAAAAGAAUUGUAGGGGAAAUGGCACACCCAAUAAAAUCGCAGGAAUUAUCCAAUUUGUCCCGAAGUUUCCAUUUUCCGUAGCCGCCUGAAUCAACGAGAAGCGCAUAGCAAUUGAUGGAACGACCGAGUGACAAGGCUACUCAGGAUCAAGCUCGGGAAUCUCUCAUCGCGAUAGCUUACUCCUCACCCGAGGAGUCUAAGCCGUCGGACGUUUCACCCGGAAACAAAAACAUCACAAAUGGUGCCAACCCGGAAACUGGAGAUGAGGCAGAGAGGCUCAGGUCUGAACUCAUCUCACUUUCCUACGUCCAGUCACCAGAUGCCGCCAUUUCCCCGUUGCCCAGCAAUGGUUUCUGCAAUGGUGUGUGUCACGGAUAGCAGUUUGGAGAAAUGUACAGUUGGUAUAAAACUUAUCUUCUAUAUGGUUAAAGAGGAGACGAUUAUAAGCUUUGGUGUGGUUGAAAAAAGACGUUUCAUUUUCAUCGAAUGAUGGAAAAUCGAUGAAACAUGCAUUCUCUGUGUGUUUUGUUAGAUAUCUUUCGUUUAUUUUGUAAUGGUGGAAUGAAUUAAGGUAAGCAAAUGGAAGGCUGACUCGUAGAAGCUGAAAGGUGAGACAUUGAUUGAUUGAACUUGUGAUCGAUGACUCUGCUGUUUUUCUUGUUUUCAUUUUGGUUUUCUUUCUAGGGCAUUCGGUAUACAAAGGCCGAGAAUUUUAGUGAGAAGCAUCUUCUUCCUGGCAGAACUUGGUGGAUUCCAUUGGAUCCAUCAAGGAAUCCAACUCCGAGGGAAUGCUUGGCUUCACUUUGAUCAUCCAACCAUCUUCGUGGGGGAUUGUGUUCGACCGCGAGCUGCCAUCUUGGAAGCAUUCCCCCCGGGAACAAGUUCUAAAUUUGGAAUACCCUUGUGGAGAGGGAUGGCCAUGGCCAUGUGAUGGAGAGAGGUGGGUGGACAAUGAAAUGUCACAGUUGGCGAAAUAAGAGAAAACAUAUGCGUUAAAA
Molecule: long non-coding RNA, 1006 nt
Organism: Tarenaya hassleriana
Lineage: Eukaryota; Viridiplantae; Streptophyta; Magnoliopsida; Brassicales; Cleomaceae
Exons: 3
Source: RefSeq, a predicted model, not a curated record